Molecule: long non-coding RNA, 2160 nt
Organism: Equus caballus (horse)
Lineage: Eukaryota; Metazoa; Chordata; Mammalia; Perissodactyla; Equidae
Source: Ensembl
AUACUCAGAAGCUGGCCCUACUGCAUCAGCCUAAUCAAGUUUUACCCCUGCCUGAGCUCUGGUGGGAGGUCUACUCUGAGAACUUGGGAGGGCAAACACCUGAGCAAAACUGGGGCUCUGUCAGCUCUGAUGGCCAGGAACAGCCCAAGGCCAACCGUGAGCAAUUAACUCCAUCUGCCACAUGGACGCACCUUGCUAUAGCUAAGAGAAGGGAUCAUUGCAGGUCCAUCACCCACUAGAUGACGAAUAAUGAGGAAUAAAAAAAGAUUUCUGUUAGAAGAGAUUUCAUUUCUAUUUUAAUCCUCUAAUUCCCCGUAAAAACUGGAAAAUACCUUAUAAACUUCAGCUCGAGUGCUAAAUUAGUUAAACAAGGAGACCAUUAGACUGAGGUGGCUCUAACGUCAUGGUGGCUUAUUUCUCCUGUCAGAAGAGGGAACCAAAGGAGACCCCCGACAGCCCCAGGAACAACAGCAAUGGAGCAUAGAAUCACUAAGGACGAAGACUGCUCUUGAACUUCCUUGGAAGGGACCACACAAGGUCCUCCUCACUACCCAGACGGCAGCCAACCUUCAGGGUCUUAAACCUUAGGUUCACAUCCCUCAAUUAAAAAGGGCUCCUCCAGACUCUUGGAAGCGCACACCAGCUGGAGACCUAAAAUUAAAAUUGACUAGAGAGGUUCCUCCCCAGAAGCAGACGGCGUCUUGAGGUGGACAGCUCUCCCAAGAUCAUGGAUCAAGACCUUCAUCUUCAAUAUGAAACCUUUAUUCCUUUUGCCUUUCUGCUAUUUGUUUUUUUCUGUUAACGCAUGGGAAGACAGUGCUCCUUAACUCUGGCAACUAUCACUGAAUGUACUGCUAAAGGCCAUAGUUACAUAACAAAAGUCCCUCGACUUUCUUGCUAAGGUAGUUUUAGAUAAUAGAAUUGCUUUAAUUACUUCUAGCUGAACAUGGAGUCUGUGCCAUAGCAAAUAGCUCCUGCUGUACCUGGAUCAACACCUCUAGUAUUGUAGCAAAUACAGGAAAUUAACAAAAAAGCCACUUGGCUAAAACAGGUUGAUGCCUCUUCAGGUACAUUCUUUGAUUUAUUUGAUACCAAUUGGCUUGGUUCCUGGGGGCCCUAAGUCUGUUGGUGUUAUCCUCCUAAUAGUUGUCAUUGUAAUCUCCCUUGUGCACUAUGUUCUCUCAGAGAUCUUAAAUGCAUGUUCACAGCCAUCAGCAGUACAUCAGGUGGGCUCAUCGUGCCUGGACAAACAGAAACGAGAUGAACGGCAAAAAACAAUUCUUCCAUGGCUCUGACAUCAUAACCUAUGAGUUUCACAAUGAGACAAGAGCAACUUAACUCUGAUGGUGACUGAGAUUGGCACUAACAUCAAAUUUUUGGUCAAUCUCUCAUGUAUGAAAUGAUGACCAAAAGAGGGGAAUUGUUAAUUAAGCAAGGAGGCCAUUAGACUGAGGUGGCUCUAAUGCUGUGGUGGCCUAUGUAAACAAACCAAAAUCUAAGCCUCUAAAUGCCUCGAGGUUACAAAAUCAAAACUCUAAGGACCACCAAUCACAAACAGCCAACCAGACUUGAAGCUAUAGUCAAUCAAUAAUUUCCUUACUUCUGCCUCUUCUCUAUAAAAGUCUGCCUGAGCUCCUGACAGUGAAGCACUCCUAGCCACCUCGUUUGGCACUGCCAGAUUCCAACAGAUGUUUGCUCAAAUAAACUCAAAAAUUUUAAUACACUUUAGUUUAUUGUUUAACAAGUGACUUCCUCUCUGGAGCUUUUUAUGACACUCUCCCUCCUCCUCGGGGGAUGUAAGCACUUGUGUCUGCUCUCUUCUAAACCGGCUUUAUCAGAGCACGUAUGAGGCUUGCACUUGCUUGCAUGCUCCUCUGCCCCUCCUGAAAUGUGUCCUCUUUGAGGCCGGGGACAAUAUCUGUAUUCUAUUCUGUGUGUUUAGCAUCUAGCACACAGGAGGCUCAAUAAAUAUUUGUUGAAUGAAUGAAUGGGGGAGGAGAAAUGAUCCAGAAAUGCCUAAUAUUAAUAACAAGCAUUUACCCAGGACUAAUUAUACGGCAGGCAUUACACAAAGGCAUGUAUGCUGAAUGGACUGAUUUAUUCCUAAGACAGCCCUAUGAAGUAGGAGCCACUAUUAUCUUCACUUUAAAUUUAAGAAAA